Alexandromys fortis (reed vole) is the source of this 1904-nucleotide long non-coding RNA. RefSeq lists it as uncharacterized. The record is from RefSeq and is a predicted model, not a curated record. The transcript is spliced from 2 exons. Lineage: Eukaryota; Metazoa; Chordata; Mammalia; Rodentia; Cricetidae.
GGCGGAGGCGCCGGUUCUCCUCGCUCAGCCGCCGCAGCUCCAGUUCGGCCUGCUGCGCGGACACCUGCAGCUGGGGGAGCCAGGAAACUCGGGGUUAGGGCCUGCCGGCUGCCCAGGGUCUUAAAAAUUAUCAUUGGAGUUCGAGAGACGGCUUAGUGGUCAAGAGUAUUGGUUGCUCUUCCAGUGGACCUGAGACAGAUUACUGGCAUCCGCACAGUGGCUCACAACUGUCUGUAACUCCAGUUCCAGGGCACCUGGCACUCUCUGCUGCCCUCCACAGGUACUACAUGCAUAUGACGCAGAAAAAACACCCACAUAUAUACAUAUGUGUGUAUGUAUAUAUGUAUAUAAGGGCUGGAGAGAUGGCUUAGUAGUUAAGAUCACUGACUGCCCUUCCAGAGGACCCAGAUUCAAUUCCCAGAACCCACAUUGCAGCUCAUAACUGUGACUCCAGUUCCAGGGGACCCAACACCCUCACACAGGUAGGUAUACAUGAAGGCAAAAAUGCAUAUAAAACUAAUUUAAAAACAUUUUUAACUUUUUGUAAUUCUGUACAUGUAUAUAAGGACUCGUGUGGCACUGAGCGAGUGUGAAAGUCAGAGGACAAGUCUGUGCAAUAGGUUCUCUCCUUCCACUUUUACAGGGUUCUGCGGAAUCAAACUCGGGGUGUCAGGUUUAUGGGAAGUGCUUUCCUUCUGAGCCAGCUCAUCAGCUUCAGGUUGGCUUUUUUUCUUCUCAAGAAACUGAACCCAGGGCCUUAGAGCAUGCCAGGCAAGUGUUUUGUAACUGAGUUUUCUCUAUAGUAUUUUUCUUCCCUUUAAAUUUGUCUGUCUCUGAGACAGGGGCUCACUAGGUAGCUCUGGCUAUCCUGGAACUCACUAUGUAGACCAAGUUGGCCUCAAACUCACAUGCGACAGUGUGUAUGUGAGAAUCAGAGGCUAACUCUGAGGAGCUGGUUCUCCCCCUCCACAGUGGGAUUUGGGGACUUAACUCAGGUUUUCAGCUUUGUGCAGCAAACUUUUAUCUUCUGAGUCAUCUGUGGCCCAAGGACAAUUUCUGGAUUUUUAUUUUAAACCUUAACCUUUUACUUAUUCAGUGUAUGCAUAUGCAUGAGUAUAAUAUGUGUCACACUGGAAAUGUGGAGGCCACAGGGCAAUUUACAGAAGUCAGCGCUCUCCUACUGUAUAGAUUCUGGAGCUCAAACUGGCCAACAGACUUGGCAGCAAGCACCUUUACCUACGGAAUAAUUUUGCCAGCCUGACAUUGUCACACAAGUCUCGAAUGGGUUUUCAUUUAUUUAUUUGAGAAAGUUUCAUUUGGUAGCAGCUGGGCCACAGAAGCUGGCUCAGAGGCCUGUGCUACCAUAUCAAACUAAGACAGCCGUCUGGACUGGUAGUGAAAUCUAGCCUUUAACACUCACAGCAACCUGCUUGCCUAGGCCGUCCAAGUGCUAGGAUUCAGGAGUGUACCACUCUGCCCAGCUGUGUUUGGUGCUGUGAAAGGUUUUCUCAACACUAAGAUUAUCAGUAUUUUCUAACAGCUUAGUAUUUUACAUCCAUAGUUUUACUCUAUUUAAUUUUACUUUUGUUGAGUGGUGUGAAAAAAGGCCCUGCUCUUUUCUAUUUCAAUAUCAUAAAGUACGCAGCAGUAAGAUUUGACUAUGUACAUAUUUGAAUCUAUUUGUUAUUCUCUGCCAAUAAAUUCCACUCCAAUAUUUUCUCUUAAUUGUCAUAUUGGUAAAAUAUUUUGACAUCCUCUUGUUUGUGAUGUCUCUUUUUCUCAUUCUUUUCUUCUUCUUUUUUUUGUUUGUUUUUGAGACAGAGUUUCUCUGUGAAACAGUCCUGGCUGUCCUGUAACUUGCUCUGUAGACCAAGCUGGCCUUGAACACACAGAGAUCCACCGUC